CCUACUGGCAGGAAUAAAGAGAGG
Molecule: non-coding RNA, 24 nt
Filed under: Cricetulus griseus (Chinese hamster)
Lineage: Eukaryota; Metazoa; Chordata; Mammalia; Rodentia; Cricetidae
Source: RNAcentral